CAGUCGCCGCGGUAAUACCGAGGGUGCGAGCGUUAAUCGGAUUUACUGGGCGUAAAGCGUGCGUAGGCGGCUUCUUAAGUCGGAUGUGAAAUCCCUGAGCUUAACUUAGGAAUUGCAUUCGAUACUGGGAAGCUAGAGUAUGGGAGAGGAUGGUAGAAUUCCAGGUGUAGCGGUGAAAUGCGUAGAGAUCUGGAGGAAUACCGAUGGCGAAGGCAGCCAUCUGGCCUAAUACUGACGCUGAGGUACGAAAGCAUGGGGAGCAAACAGGAUUAGAUACCCCCGUAGUCCCUGUCUCUUAUCC
This 301-nucleotide ribosomal RNA is filed under the name uncultured bacterium. Its description in RNAcentral is "partial 16S ribosomal RNA". It matches the Rfam family "Bacterial small subunit ribosomal RNA", at positions 509 to 809 of the family's 1533-position model. The record is from RNAcentral.